RNAcentral lists this ribosomal RNA (481 nucleotides) under uncultured bacterium. RNAcentral's name for it is "partial 16S ribosomal RNA". It matches the Rfam family "Bacterial small subunit ribosomal RNA", at positions 28 to 507 of the family's 1533-position model. The record is from RNAcentral.
GAUGAACGCUGGCGGCGUGCUUAACACAUGCAAGUCGAACGAAGCAUUUGCGACAGAUUUUUUCGGAAUGAAGUUGCUUAUGACUGAGUGGCGGACGGGUGAGUAACGCGUGGGUAACCUGCCUUGUACUGGGGGAUAGCAGCUGGAAACGGCUGGUAAUACCGCAUAAGCGCACAAUGUUGCAUGACAUGGUGUGAAAAACUCCGGUGGUAUAAGAUGGACCCGCGUCUGAUUAGCUAGUUGGUGAGAUAACAGCCCACCAAGGCGACGAUCAGUAGCCGACCUGAGAGGGUGACCGGCCACAGUGGGACUGAGACACGGCCCAGACUCCUACGGGAGGCAGCAGUGGGGAAUAUUGCACAAUGGAGGAAACUCUGAUGCAGCGACGCCGCGUGAGUGAAGAAGUAAUUCGUGAUGUAAAGCUCUAUCAGCAGGGAAGAUAGUGACGGUACCUGACUAAGAAGCUCCGGCUAAAUACGUG